UACAGAGGGUGCGAGCGUUAAUCGGAAUUACUGGGCGUAAAGGGUGCGUAGGUGGUUUGGUAAGUUAGGUGUGAAAGUCCUGGGCUUAACCUGGGGAUUGCGCCUGAUACUGCUAGACUCGAGUACUGUAGAGGAAAGUGGAAUUUCCGGUGUAGCAGUGAAAUGCGUAGAUAUCGGAAGGAACAUCAGUGGCGAAGGCGACUUUCUGGACAGAUACUGACACUGAGGCACGAAAGCAUGGGGAGCAAACAGG
RNAcentral lists this ribosomal RNA (253 nucleotides) under uncultured prokaryote. RNAcentral's name for it is "partial 16S ribosomal RNA". It matches the Rfam family "Bacterial small subunit ribosomal RNA", at positions 524 to 776 of the family's 1533-position model. The record is from RNAcentral.